GACGAACGCUGGCGGCGUGCUUAACACAUGCAAGUCGAACGGAAAGGCCCUGCUUUUGUGGGGUGCUCGAGUGGCGAACGGGUGAGUAACACGUGAGUAACCUGCCCUUGACUUUGGGAUAACUUCAGGAAACUGGGGCUAAUACCGGAUAGGAGCUCCUGCUGCAUGGUGGGGGUUGGAAAGUUUCGGCGGUUGGGGAUGGACUCGCGGCUUAUCAGCUUGUUGGUGGGGUAGUGGCUUACCAAGGCUUUGACGGGUAGCCGGCCUGAGAGGGUGACCGGCCACAUUGGGACUGAGAUACGGCCCAGACUCCUACGGGAGGCAGCAGUGGGGAAUAUUGCACAAUGGGCGGAAGCAUGAUGCAGCAACGCCGCGUGCGGGAUGACGGCCUUCGGGUGGUAAACCGCUUUCGCCUGUGACGAAGCGUGAGUGACGGUAAUGGGUAAAGAAGCACCGGCUAACUACGU
RNAcentral lists this ribosomal RNA (467 nucleotides) under uncultured bacterium. RNAcentral's name for it is "partial 16S ribosomal RNA". It matches the Rfam family "Bacterial small subunit ribosomal RNA", at positions 28 to 506 of the family's 1533-position model. The record is from RNAcentral.